UGGGGAAUAUUGGACAAUGGAGGAAACUCUGAUCCAGCAAUUCUGUGUGUGUGAAGAAGGUUUUAGGACUGUAAAACACUUUUAGUAGGGAAGAAAAAAAUGACGGUACCUACAGAAGAAGCAACGGCUAAAUACGUGCCAGAAGCCGCGGUAAUACGUAUGGGGCGAGCGUUGUCCGGAAUUAUUGGGCGUAAAGGGUACGUAGGCGGUCUAUUAAGUCAGGUGUGAAAGCGUGAGGCUUAACCUCAUUAAGCACUUGAAACUGAUAGACUUGAGUGAAGGAGAGGAAAGUGGAAUUCCUAGUGUAGCGGUGAAAUGCGUAGAUAUUAGGAGGAAUACCGGUGGCGAAGGCGACUUUCUGGACUUUUACUGACGCUCAGGUACGAAAGCGUGGGGAGCAAACAGG
Molecule: ribosomal RNA, 406 nt
Filed under: Verrucomicrobiota bacterium
Lineage: Bacteria; Pseudomonadati; Verrucomicrobiota
Description: Verrucomicrobia bacterium partial 16S ribosomal RNA
Rfam family: Bacterial small subunit ribosomal RNA
Source: RNAcentral